CCAUAUCAGUAUUUGCUUCUUUAUCAUUGGAGGCCAUAAAUCAGAAUUGAAGUUGCGCUGGAGCAGAAAAACAACAGCAGCAGGUCCCUCGUAAUCUCUGAUACCAUAUAAAGCUGGAAGAUCCGAUAACCCCGGCGAAAGGACGGAAAAUCAGAUUAAAAUCCGUCGAUGAAGAAAUGAGAUUUGGGGAAGAAAGAAGAAUCGUA
RNAcentral lists this long non-coding RNA (206 nucleotides) under Zostera marina. RNAcentral's name for it is "long non-coding RNA (ZMAR_LNC003157)". The record is from RNAcentral. Lineage: Eukaryota; Viridiplantae; Streptophyta; Magnoliopsida; Alismatales; Zosteraceae.